This 422-nucleotide ribosomal RNA is filed under the name uncultured bacterium. Its description in RNAcentral is "bacterial SSU rRNA". It matches the Rfam family "Bacterial small subunit ribosomal RNA", at positions 355 to 774 of the family's 1533-position model. The record is from RNAcentral.
UGAGGAAUAUUGGUCAAUGGACGGAAGUCUGAACCAGCCAUGCCGCGUGAAGGAUGAAGGCGUUCUGCGUUGUAAACUUCUUUUAUCUGGGAAGAAACCACAGAUUUCUAUUUGUGUUGACGGUACCAGAGGAGUAAGCACCGGCUAACUCCGUGCCAGCAGCCGCGGUAAUACGGAGGGUGCGAGCGUUAUCCGGAUUUACCGGGUUUAAAGGGUACGUAGGCGGGCUAUUAAGUCAGAGGUGAAAUCUCCGGGCUCAACCUGGAAACUGCCUUUGAUACUAUUAGCCUUGAAUUAUGUUGAGGUUGGCGGAAUAUAACAUGUAGCGGUGAAAUGCUUAGAUAUGUUAUGGAACACCGAUUGCGAAGGCAGCUGGCUAAACAUAUAUUGACGCUGAUGCACGAAAGCGUGGGUAGCGAACA